AUGUAUACUUUGUACUUGUCAGAUUAUACUUGUAAAUGUACUUGACUUUGUAUCUGUGCUGUACUCUUGUGAACGUACUUGACUGUUCCACACGGGUCGGUGUGUAUUCAUGUGACUCCCGUUCUAUGGACCAGACCUGAAGACGGUGGAUCCUGUACCUGAGGUGAGCAGAACUGAGGUUCAUGUGACCGUGGAGGACAUGGCUUGGAUCCAGCAGACCUGAGACUACGACCCUGGAGAAGCUCCAUCCUGGUCUGGUUCAGUCGGACUGUGGUCGUCCUCCCUGUCCUCCCUGAGGUUCUGGACCCAAGGACCCAGCCCCCCCCCCCCCCCCCC
Cynoglossus semilaevis (tongue sole) is the source of this 336-nucleotide long non-coding RNA. RefSeq lists it as uncharacterized. The transcript has 3 exons. The record is from RefSeq and is a predicted model, not a curated record. Lineage: Eukaryota; Metazoa; Chordata; Actinopteri; Pleuronectiformes; Cynoglossidae.